GACGAACGCUGGCGGCGUGCUUAACACAUGCAAGUCGAACGGAAAGGCCCUGCUUUUGUGGGGUGCUCGGGUGGCGAACGGGAGAGUAACACGAGAGUAACGUGCCCUGGACUUUGGGAUAACUUCAGGAAACUGGGGCGAAUACCGGAUAGGAGCUCCUGCUGCAUGGGGGGGGUGGGAAAGGUUCGGCGGUUGGGGAUGGGCGCGCGGGUUAUGAGCCUGUUGGUGGGGUAGUGGCGUACCAAGGCUUUGACGGGUAGCCGGCCUGAGAGGGUGAGCGGCCACAUUGGGACUGAGAUACGGCCCAGACUCCUACGGGAGGCAGCAGUGGGGAAUAUUGCACAAUGGGCGGAAGCCUGAUGCAGCAACGCCGCGUGCGGGAUGACGGCCUUCGGGUUGUAAACCGCUUUCGCCUGUGACGAAGCGUGAGUGACGGUAAUGGGUAAAGAAGCACCGGCUAACUACGUG
This 468-nucleotide ribosomal RNA is filed under the name uncultured bacterium. RNAcentral describes it as "partial 16S ribosomal RNA". It matches the Rfam family "Bacterial small subunit ribosomal RNA", at positions 28 to 507 of the family's 1533-position model. The record is from RNAcentral.